UACGUAGGGGGCAAGCGUUGUCCGGAUUUACUGGGCGUAAAGGGCGCGUAGGCGGCCCUCUUUGUCGCGUGUGAAAGCCCCGGGCUCAACCUGGGAAUGGCGCGCGAAACGGGGGGGCUGGAGUUCGGGAGAGGAGCGUGGAAUUCCCAGUGUAGAGGUGAAAUUCGUAGAUAUUGGGAAGAACACCGGUGGCGAAGGCGGCGCUCUGGACCGAGACUGACGCUGAGGCGCGAAAGCGUGGGGAGCAAACAGG
RNAcentral lists this ribosomal RNA (253 nucleotides) under uncultured bacterium. Its description in RNAcentral is "partial 16S ribosomal RNA". It matches the Rfam family "Bacterial small subunit ribosomal RNA", at positions 524 to 776 of the family's 1533-position model. The record is from RNAcentral.